Molecule: transfer RNA, 71 nt
Filed under: Marmota monax (woodchuck)
Lineage: Eukaryota; Metazoa; Chordata; Mammalia; Rodentia; Sciuridae
Description: tRNA.Ile
Source: RNAcentral
GAGGUUGUGGCUCAGUGGUAGAGCACUUGCCUAAUAUGUUUGAGGCACUGGGUUUAAUCCUCAGCACCACA